UCUUUGAUUGAAUUACAGAGAAUGGCUUAAGGACAUCUUUAUCUUUCAGAGAUCUAAAAAUAAAGACCAGAUAACACUGAUUUGUAUUAUCUGAGACUCUCUCUUAAAGGGACCGGGGCAGUAGCAGAGACAGCACAAAGGCCAGGUCCUCAAUCGUAUUAAUAAUUUCAAGGUGUCUUCCAUUCACUAUGAAUUCCCUGUCUCCAUCAUGAUGCUCACUUAUUAACUUUUCAGGUUAGGCUGCAUAUUGCUUGGUGUAUGUUUAGAGAACUCUCUAUUCUCUAAAUCUAUAUAAAUGCUGUCUAGAGGAAACAGGUGUUCCCCCUAUUUUUAUGGGUGAAAUUUAGACAGUUUGCAGGCUGUCUGCAAGGCUGAGGAGGAGUGGGCAGGGUGAUAUACAGAAGUAGAAAUUUGUAAUGGGAGUAAUAUACAAAAAGAUGAAAUGCAUCAAGUUCCUAGAGGACAGUUUGUGACUAGUGGUGUGCUAUUUGAAUUCUAGGAAGACUCAUAAUAAAUUGUAAAAUGGGCCUACUUAAGACUGAAAGGGCAUGAAUAAACAAAUUUGAUAAAGGACUGAUACACUUUAAAUUCACUAUAUUGCAAUUGUAAUGUAAGGAGAUGGCCUUAUCUUCAAACUCUGGGGAAGAUAAUAUAAAUUUCCAUAAGAUUGAGCUGAAGAAUUUUAUUUCCACUUUAUUUUGAAGUAGGCUGGGAGUGAGAAGGUUUAUGUAAACACGUGUACUCUUUACAUAAGUGACAGAAAAGCAGAAAAGAAAAAUAACUCAAGGCAGUUUAGAGGAGGCUAUUAUGAUUAUACAACCUGCCUCCCAAGGACUUUUAAAGGCAACAGGAAUAAGAAUUUAGAAAAAGUUAUUUAAAUUCAUUGUUUUAAUGAAUUCAACUGAAAAUACACAAUAUGAGUCCAGAGAAGUCAAAGCUUUCAACUUUUCACGGGCACGAUAGCUUAGGUGGUUUGGAAAUAAGAAAGAGGAAAAUAAUGGAAUCAAUUUCACUGAGUUAACAUGAGGCAGGAUGGUAUACAGUGUGUGAAGG
This is a long non-coding RNA of Sapajus apella (tufted capuchin), 1053 nucleotides long. RefSeq lists it as uncharacterized. Lineage: Eukaryota; Metazoa; Chordata; Mammalia; Primates; Cebidae. The record is from RefSeq and is a predicted model, not a curated record. The transcript is spliced from 2 exons.